GUAGGGAAUAUUGGGCAAUGGUCGGAAGACUGACCCAGCCAUGCCGCGUGCAGGAUGAAGGCGCUCAGCGUUGUAAACUGCUUUUGAUCGGGAAGAACGGCCGGGGUGCGCCCUGGUGUGACGGUACCGACAGAAUAAGCACCGGCUAACUCCGUGCCAGCAGCCGCGGUAAUACGGAGGGUGCAAGCGUUGUCCGGAUUUAUUGGGUUUAAAGGGUGCGUAGGUGGCUUUUUAAGUCAGACCUGAAAGUGGGCCGCUUAACGGCACAGGGUGGUUUGAUACUGAAGAGCUUGAAGAGGGUGGAGGCCGCCGGAACGGAUCGUGUAGCGGUGAAAUGCAUAGAGAUGAUCCAGAACCCCGAUUGCGAAGGCAGGCGGCUACGCCCCACUUGACACUGAGGCACGAGAGCAUGGGGAGCAAACAGGAUUAGAAACCCUAGUAGUCC
This 445-nucleotide ribosomal RNA is filed under the name uncultured bacterium. RNAcentral's name for it is "bacterial SSU rRNA". It matches the Rfam family "Bacterial small subunit ribosomal RNA", at positions 354 to 796 of the family's 1533-position model. The record is from RNAcentral.